This 41857-nucleotide long non-coding RNA is filed under the name Spirodela polyrhiza (greater duckweed). RNAcentral describes it as "long non-coding RNA (SPOL_LNC000636)". Lineage: Eukaryota; Viridiplantae; Streptophyta; Magnoliopsida; Alismatales; Araceae. The record is from RNAcentral.
GCGGCCAGCAGGCUCGGCAACAUCUUCUCCUACUGUCUCCCUUCUACGAGCAGCUCCACUGGCUUCCUAAACAUCGGCAAACCAUUGGCGAGCGCAGUGCGAUAUACGCCAUUGCUGACAGAUUCACGCGCGCCGACCCUCUACUUUAUCGAUCUCAUUGGAAUAACCGUCGGAGGUACGAAGCUGCCGGUGUCGGCGACCGUCUUCCGAUCUGCUGGCACGAUUAUAGAUUCUGGGACGGUGAUCACCCGCCUGCCACCUGCGGCGUACAGCGCACUUCGGACGGCCUUCCGCGCGGCUAUGAGUCGGUACCCACGGGCUCCGGCGGUCAGUAUACUGGACACUUGUUAUGACUUCAGUAAGGCGGCAAAUGUAACAUAUCCGGUGAUCAAGCUCCUGUACUCCGGUCUCGAGGUCACGCUCCCGGCUACAGGGGUGAUGUACGUCAUCAGCUCCGCACAGGUCUGUCUGGCGUUCGCCGGGAACUCGGACUCCGACCAGAUCAGUAUCAUCGGCAACGUUCAGCAGAGGACGUUCGAGGUGACCUACGACAAUAUUGGGAACAGGAUAGGGUUCUCCGCGGGGGCGUGCCGCUAGUUCGCCGGGGAGCGUCGAGGGCAUCUCCAAAGUCUGGAAAAAAUUCUGGAUGCUUUUUUCUGAUGUACGGAAAUCGCGUGAAUCUGCGGCGUUUUCUCGUAAUUUUGCUAUUCGUGUGCGGCGAUAUAUUCGAAUAAGUGGUUUAUGCACAAUUCUUCAUAGUCGGUGACUACUUUGUCGAUAUCCUUUUAGUUCAAUUGGUCUUGGGCUGUCAGCCUGUUCGACAAAUAAGACAUCCCCUUCGACGGCAUUUGAUGCAGGGGGAUAUGGUUGGGGGCAUAGACAUGAAUUCCCGUUAGUGCAUGGUCCGUUUGGAAUGUGAAAAAGGUGAGCGAGGAAUGCCUCAAAAUAUAUAAAGCUGGCGAAGGAGGAAGGGGAGUGCGUUUGCCAGAGGAAGACUGCCCCGUUUCUAGUUUGUCUUGAUUAGAUUAUCAACUGAACAAAACGUUUGACCUGGGCAUUGUUUCUUGACGCACCCAACAUUACUGUUUGUCCCGUGAAUUACAGUUCGUUCCAUCGAAAAAACAGAGGCUAACCGACGAAGGUCUUAUAAUAUAUGCUCCCUUCACUAUACAAUUUCGAUUCAGGGUUUAUUCAUUUUUGAAUAGAAAACAAGAAAGCUGAGCAUAAUGAAGUAGGCACUUACCCUAGCAGCCGGCGGCAGAACACCGACCUUGCCACUGGGCUUAACUUAAUCAACUAGGCUAAGAGUCAGUCCAUGAGUAGCUGUCAUCAGCCCAAAACCAUCGUGAGAUGGCUGAAGAGCGAUGUGAAGGCUUUUUAGAGCCUCGCAAAUAAUGCGUAGUUUCAGGUUUUCUCGGACGCUGUAGAUCGGCUGGCCCCGCCGUAAUGCCAGAGCGUUCCCUCUACUAGAACGGUUCCCAUCUCCAGCCUCUCCCUCGAAUACACGCUUUUGGUUGUGCUGCAGUCUUCCGAAAGGCUUCUACCUUUCGGGUCUUGCAUUUUAAGAAAAAUCCCUUUGUGCAGCCUUGGGUUCAUUUUAUAGACGAUUUGUCCAAAACUCUUCUUGGAAAAUUGGCGAGAUUGUCACUCUAUUAGUUCACGGAUGACAUUUUUAAGAAUUUUCUACGGUUUAUCUAGAUCCAGUCGGCUAUUAGUCUUGGGAUACACCAUAAACAUAUAAGCUAUACUACUAGUUGGAUUAUUCUUUUCUGCUUAUAUUGCCAAAGUCAUGUUGUAUAACACUAUAAAAUAAAUAAAAUAUUUUAUCUGUUUAUCUUUAUCUUUUCAAUUAGAUUUAAGAAGCAAAAGGGUGUUUAUAUAGGUAUUGGACAGAAAAAUGAAGGAAUAUAUGAUGCAUUAAUACCCAAAGAAUAGCCUACAAUAUACUCAAAAGUGAAAGUGGCUUCGAGAGUUUAAAUUUGAGUUGGAGUUUAGGUUUCUCCUUUUAUCUUAGGUAAAUUAAAAGUUUAAAAACAUUAGGCUCACUGCUACAGCUCCUAUGUUGAUGCUUUUUUAUUAUUGUUGAUUGUAGAGUUCAAAAGUAUAAUAUGGCGAAUAAAAAUGGGAGCUUGAUAAGUAUAAAUGCCUAUAUAAAAAGUGAAAGAUUUAGAGGCUAAAAAUAAUACCAAGAGGGGGGGGGGGAGAAUUAGUAUUUUAAAAAUCUCAAAUUUUCUUCCUAGAUGUUAGAUGUGUCAACACAUAUGUUAACAUGGUUCUGUAUGAUUAUCUACAUGUAAAAUGACUUUCUCUUUCUUUUAGUGGGGACUCACUAUGAGGCAAGAGUUUUUUAUAUUAGUUUGUCCCUCACUUAACUACAAAUCCUAGAGGAUUAUUCUUACUAGUAUUUUAUUAUUUCUCACAGAAAUACACAUUGAUUUUAAUGAGAUCAACAGCCACAACACCUCAAGUUCAACCUCCAUAGAGAUCUAGCUCCUUCUUGACCAAAUAGGGCUUAGAACACCUUAUGCCAUUACCUAAACUCACGCUCCACUCAUCACCCAGUUACCUUAGGGCUUAAUGAAGAGCUUCUAUAAAGGAUUCUAGCUUUAUCUUGAUCACUAAUUAUUGAUGAAGAUAGAUGAUACAGUCUACUCGUAGUUAAAGUUCAGUAUCGAAUCUUGAUCGUGAGAAAGAUUUCUCAUUGUAGAUCAAAGUAAAAUUAUUGUUGUUGAUCUCUUUUACUUUCUUUACUUGUAGGGCAUCAUCCUUUAAUAGAUUUCUAUAUUUUAUUUGAGAGAUAAAGUCAAAAGGUCAGUUUGAAUAAUUACCAUUUUACAUAACAUGCGGUAAUAACAUUUGUCUAUUACGAAUUCAAUAUCUUUCUAUUAUCUAGUUCGCUAAUUUUGAAAUUUAAACUAAAGAUUUUUAUCUCAUAGAAGAAUAACUUUCCUUUUGACUUUGUCUUCAGAUUUGAACAUUAAGAUAGUUUUUUUCUCCAUGUAAAGAGCUGACAGAUAAUUGUCUAGAUUUUCAAUUCAAGACUUAUAAGAGUUUAAUUGAUAUUUCGAAUCUUUUUUUUCUUUUAAUAAUGCAUGCGAGUAAUAAACAUUUAUUUUAAAAAUGGUUAAAUAAUCAUAGAUAAAUGAUUAAUAAACACUUAAAUAAUUAAAUAAUCAUAGAUAAAUGAAUUAAAGUAUAACUAUCAAUUACCUAUUAAAUAUUUAUUUUUCAACAAAUGUUUAUCUAUAUAUAGCACUUCACCUAUUCAUGAUUUUACUCAACCUCAAGGUUUGUCAUAAUGUCACAAGAUAAAUAAUAUAUGAAUUUACAUGAAACCUAUGAGUCAUUAAUCAUAAUCGUGUGAAUAAUUUUAAUUAUGAAUUAUAUAUUUUCUCUUAUAUUUGUAAUAUCAAAAUCUAUGCCUAAGGGCAUCAACAAAAAGUAUCUAUCGUCUUAGUUUCAUAGUGAAAUACUAUUUUAAAAUUUUGAAAAAAUAUUAAAAAUUGAGUAUAGGUUGGGUAAUACUCAAUCAUAUGAUUCUUAUGAUAGAUGUGAAUUUUUCAAAAAAUCCUCACUUUGUUUUUGGAAUUAAGGCUAAUUAUUCCCAACUUUUCUAAUUGCCACUCUAUAAACUUUUAUAGAGGCUUGUUUGGUACAUUAAACCUGAAAGAUCCUGUGGAAGAAUCACAACUCUUGUAUAUGAAGGUCUCUUGAAUCAUCAUACAUCAUAAUUUUUGAAUGAGGGGUCAUCCUCAAAUCUAGUGAAUCAAAAAUGAUGAUAUCCCUUUAUGAAGAGCCAAAAAUGGUAAAUUAUAAAUUUAUUUUAUAAAAGAGGUUUAGAAAAUGUUGGAGAAUCAAAUACAUAUUGUUUUGAUGUUUAAAAACACUCAAAAUAUUAUUUAGAAAAUGAGAUUAUGCAUAUUAUUUAUUAUCCCUGAUUUAUGAUGUAUGAACAUAAUCUUGUCCAAAUAUGAAUUCAUAUAUAAUUUUAAGUAGUAAGGUAAAAUUUCUAAAUCGUUUAAUGAAUGUAGUCGUGAACUAUGAUGAUCAAUUCUAAAAUUCAAUAAAAUUUACCAAAUAAAAUUAUUAUUUUUUACUUUACUGUGAAUACUCUAAAUAUUUAUAGAAACUUACAUUUUGAGAAACUAAUGAUUAUCAUAUUUGAAUAAAUACCAGCCACUGAAGUAAAAUAAGGGUCAAAAAACUUAAUAUAAUUUUUGGUCAUGAUGGUAGAUCAUUAUUCUAAAGUAGUUUCGUAUCAUAGUAAUUGAAUUCAUAUUGCAUACAUUUCUCAAAACUUCUAAAAAUCAAUGAGUAUUAUUAAGAAAUAUUUUUAAAUAUUUAUACUGUCAAAAUUAUGAUUUUACAUAUUGAGAUUUUGAAUGCCUACUUGAUGAUGACAAUUUCUUAGUUUUGACACUGAAAUUAUUACUUUAUUUUGGGAUGUAUUAUUUGUUCCAUGUCAACAAUUGAGAAUCAUAAGCAGACUUAUUUUAACUAGUAACUCUCAAAAGUUAUACAUUGGUGGUAAACAAUAACAUGAAUUCAUUUCUUAAUAAGAUAUUUGUAUCUUUAGAGGAAAUAUCAUAUAUGUUUUCCAACCAUUUAUAGUUCUAACUACUAGAAACUAAAUAGUGAAAUGCAACAAAAACUAGGAGAGAAGUUUGAACAAAAUUUCUUUAUAAAUUCAACACAUUUCUAACGACUAAUUAGUUCCUAAUGAUUACCUCUAAUUUUUCUACAAUUUUGAUGGGGAUCUUGAGCCAAUCCCUCCAAUCGGGGCACCAAGGGAGGAGCCUAUUUUGACCCAUGUCCAAGGAGGCCCAAAAAAGGAGGGCUAAGGCAUGGACUUGAGCCAAGAUAAGGCCCAUUCCCAAGAGGAUGCUCGUGCCUUCAUAGAGGGGUGCCUCACCAAUCACCCUCUCCUCUCACAAGGGGACCAUUGGAAGCACCCCUUGGGCAACCAUCCAUACUACUCAAUCACAAGGGGCCACAAGAUGUUCAUUAAGGACUUGAAAAAGGGUCAAGGAAAGGACAAGAAGUGGAUAACAACAUCUAACCAACCUUGGAGAAGUAAAGUCAACUAAGGAGGUCAACUAUGAGUCAAAACACCUUUUUGUUAUGUAUAACUUCUCUCUUUUGUAACCACUUGUAAGAACUCUCUAUAAAAGGGGUGGCUCAUAGAUUCUAAGGAUAAAAAAUUUAUGAAUGAAGUACUUUGUUCUCUCUUCAAAACUUUGUCCUUUAGUCAAAGAGAGGCUGUGAGGGUCAACACUCCUUAAGGAGAGGCCACGAGGGUCAAUUGCCCCACAAGGAGGCUGUGAAGGUCAACACCAUAAAAGUCAAUCCACUCAUUCCACUUUCUCAUGUUGACACACCAUCAUUCACUAUAUUUUAGAGUCAGUGAAGUCACUUUUAUGGUUAACAAGUCAACUAAAGAGGGAUAUCACCACCCUUCUUAUAAGGUACAAGUUGACUUAUAUGUUUCUAGCGAAGCCUAAUCUUAUCUGAAAAAUUCUCUUGCUUUAUUACUUAAGACUGAUCAUAGGGUAGCCAUUUUCAAGCAUUUAGUGAUCUCAAAUCUUGGAAUAAAUUUGAUCCGACUCAAUUAAGCCUAGUCAAGUCUAGAUCAAAGGAUAAUUUAAAAUCCUAUAAUCUCAAGAUGUGAGAAUUCAAUUUAUCUUAAUUUUAUAUCUAUAAAUUCAAGUAAAGCCUUGAGAAUUUACUAUUAAAAGCUUUUGUCUUAUUAUUUCACAACUUAAUUUGGAUUUUCUCACCUUCAUCUCGCAUCAGCCUUGUUGAUAUUUUUUGUAGAAACUUUUAUGAAAACUCAUGAGGUUGGGCCUGCAUUAAAAUUUUAUGAACUUGAUACAAAAUUACGAGGUAAAAAUAAUAUGAGAGCUGAGUUUUUUUAUUACUUGUUAUGAUUAGUGGACGAUUGGUGUAAUAGAAGGAAAUAAUUUGGUGAUUCUUAUAGAAUGCCAUAGAUAGGAUGAUAAAUUAUGUCAAAAGUUGAGCAUUUUAGAUUUAAAUUUCAAAAAAUCACAUGAUUAAGAUAGAAUGAAGAAGAUUGAAGAUCAUAGUAAUACAUUACUUGAGUUAAAAAAUUAGGAUUUGAUCAAUUCGAACUGUUUUCUUGAUAGAAGUGUGACCUAAAAUUCAGCAGUUGGUAUCAAAUAUUAUUUGUAUGGAUGGAAAAUAAAUUUCUUUGAUGAAUAUAUAUUGAGAGUAUGAUGUAGGAGUUCAAUACAUAGAACAGAACUAUUUAAUGUAUCAAAUUAUACUGUUUGGAAGAAUAAGGUAGAUAUAUUUAUCAAAAUAUUAGAUUAUUAGGUGUUGGAGAUUAGUAUGGAUGAACCAUUAAAAGUGAAUGAUCUACACAUAAAACAACAAAAUAUUUUAUUUCUAAAUGCUAGAGUCAGGCAUAUCUUGAUAAAUGAGUUAGAUAUUAAGGAAUUUAAUAGAGUUAUUGAUGAAACACUAAUAAUGGGGUGAAUUGGAGUUUUUAGAAUUUCUUUCCAUUUUCUGUUCUUUGUCAGCCCUAUGUGUAUUUGUCACUAGAUAUGUUAAUACAAAUUUUGUCUUUUAACUCCCACUCACAUAGAACACUAUGAUUUUAUAUUGUUUGGCCCCUCACCAAAAUAUGUCCACUCUAGAGGAAGCUUUCCUCUAGUAUUCAUUAAUCCCUUUAGGAAUCAUAUAAAUACCUCAUGUUCAUCUCUUCAAAGACUUAGCCUUCUUAGGCCAAAACUGGCGAUUAACACCUUGGGACUAUGGAGGGCCAGAGUACAGAAGAUAGAGUUGAUGAUCGUGCUUAAAUUAGUUGGAGAAGAUGGUAUGAUGUUUUAGUACGACAAUGAUACCUGAGAGGAUGACUUGAAUUUUCGUGUAUUCAGUGCACUUUUGAUUCAUAAACCUUAUUUGAUAAGUAAAUCAUGAUCCUCUAAUAGUUUCCAGAUUCUAUUGGAUCUAUAAUGUUCAAAAUCUUCAUUCAAAUUUUUGUCAAUUUCCAGAAUGCAUAGUAACAAACUUUGAACCUUCUAAAAAUUGAAUUUUGUUAUUCCAUCAUUCUUGUUUAUUCAAAUCUGAACAUAAGUUUCCUAACUUGAUAUAGAAUAGUAUGAUUUUUAAGUAGGAUCCAAAUCAUCAUGUUUAUUUUGACUUUCAUCAAUGUAAGCAAAUGAUGUGUUACUAUGAAGACGUUGUGUUCUAAAGUUGAAUGUCUUUUUUUCCUAAUUCUUUUCAUGAUUGAAUCUACAAGAGAUCUUUAAAACAAAUUUCUAGAAAUUCUAGAUAUCUUCCAUUGAAUGAUGAUUCCUAACACAAAGAAUUGCUGAAUUUAAAGGAUUGAUAUCUUGGAUUUGAUUGUUAGUGAUAAGAUCAUGACAUAAUUAAAUACCUUUGCCUAACUCUAUUUUUCAUCUGAGCAUCCCAUAGGCUGCUUGCAUGAAAUUAAACUUUUUUAGGAAGCUCACCAUGCAGGAAUAUAAUGAUGACUUCAAUUAAGUUGCUAGAAGUUAGUAUUAUUCAUUUUUCCUUAUCAUGUGAUUGGCUUAGAACCCCCACCCUCACACGUGCUUAAGAUCUCACCAAUGAAAAGGAAAUACACCGAAUGCAUUCUUAGAACUGAUUUGGACUUGGACUUUAGUAUAGUUUGGUUUGGAGCUUGGAGGCCACUUUUCUUGUUAUGUGAUUCAUUACACUGUCGGUAGGCAGUAUACUUUUUUCCUUCUCUUUCUUCGUUUAUAUACAGGGAGAUGUGACCAUAGCUCGGCACCAUUUGAAGCCAAAGACAGCUUUUUUGUGAUCUCUAUAGCUCAUCUAUCUCUACACCUAAUGAAAUUAUGUGUGCAUUUGCCAAGAGAAGGCGAGAAGAGUCAUGAUUACUAUGUUCUUUCACUUCCAGAUUUAAACGAUGCAACAAUAAAUAGAAUUAGAAGUGAGGAUCAAGACUAGGCAUAAUAAGCUUUGAGGUCAUGAAUUUUUGGGUCAGAUAUAAGGUACUAAAGAACUGUUUAUUUGGAUGUUCUUAUUUCUUUUGUAAGAGCGAGAGGACAAAGGUAGGUCUACCAGAGUACUGUCACAGCAGAUGAUCAAGUUAAAAUGUAUUCUAUCUGUAGAGAUAUAAUGGUUUAAUAGCUGUUUAUUUGACCACUAUACUAUUAAUUGCUCCAGUUACUUUGAGAUUAUCCUCACACCAGGAAUAUUGAUGCUCUGUCAUAAAAAGGUAGCUACGAAGUUGAAUCUCGAUCCAGAAUUGAUUUACGUUUGACGUUGAAAAAACAAUGAACUUGAGAAAGUUUAUCCGUUGAGUGGUGAUCAGCUUGAGAAAUAAUGAGGUCAAUUAUAUCUUUGUAGUAAACAGUGAGGCAGAAGGAAAAAUACUAUAAAUCAGUUUGUCGUAAAGAAAUCAUGCUGAGACAAAAUCUAAACCAGUUUAUCUGAUUAAAACAGUAAAAUUAUUAUCAAAUAUACAAAAUAUUACGUUUUAAUUUGGAGUAUUUUUUACAUGUUUUUGAAGUUUAUUUUCAUACCUCAAUUGGAGUGUAGAUCGGAUCCGAACGACUAGGCCGCUUGAUCAACAUAAUACACAGAAAUGAAAUUAAGUUGGGGCCAAUAAUAGGUUAUCGAACCCACUAUUUUGUUCCUCGAUCAUGUUAAUCGUCGGCUCCAAUCUGGUCAAGCGCUGACUGUGAAAUUUAAAUGAGCAGGGAACGGUUGGGUUUAUUAACUAGGGGCCAGAUCGUGUCACAGUCACCCCGUUGUCUUUCAUAGUAUGCUAAUAAAGUAGGCUUCGAAUUCCAAAACACGUGGCGGGCCAGUACGAACACGGGAAGAGCUGACUCGGUGAUGGGCCCUUGAUGCCCUCCAUGCAAGGGAAUCUAGAUAGCAGCAAGCCUUCCCGAUGUCAAUUUCUUGGGGUUUUGAAAGCGUCCGACGGGAAGCAAGUCAAUGGAGGGAGAGAGAGAGAGAGAGAGAGAGAGAGAGAUAGAGACCGGCAGGUUUCAUUCUCUCGAGGUUAAAGUGAGAAUGGGGAGGAAAGAUCGUGGCUGAGAAUAAUUGAACAUAUAAACGUUAUUUUCGUAAAUUAAAUGUUUACAUUGAAUAACUGGUCAAAUUACGCAGUCGAAUUCAUUUCUUGACGCGUGGAAACGAGCAGGAAUAGUCCAAUAAAGGAAGCUGAUAUCUUUCCAGUUCUUGAUUACUGAGGUAUUGAACGAAACAAGCUAACUGGUUGGGCCUAUGACCUCGACUCACUGUCCUUGCAAGUUUAAAAACUAGCCUUGCAAGUGUGAAAACCAGGCCCAGAAACGGCUUUGUCUCUUUCAGAAUGCCACACCGCCGUGGAAAUGCCAUAUUUCCUGGAUGGUUUAUGCUGGUAUCUUUGUUUGACUUCUGCAAGUUGUUCGAUGGAAACAAGCCCAUAAAGAGCCUUCCCUCUCCCCGUUGUAGACACGAAGCCAUACCACAGCGAUGGCAGCGUGUGAGUUACGCUUGUCCUCCGCCCUGUUUUCGCUGAUCGUGUUUUGCUUUGGCGGACAAGCCCAUGGGGAGAGCACCUUCGCAGCUCUCGAAGUUACGAGCUUGGUACCCUCCCUCAGUUGUUCUCCGUCCAAAGGUUGACUCCCUCAACCAAUUUCUGUCCGAAAAAUUUCAGAAUAGUCUCUCCUUUCAAGAGCUGGAUUUCUUCAACCAUUUUCUGUGCGCUCUAUCGAGAUUUCUUAUAAAAUUAUUCUUUCAAGUCCUAAACAUGUAGGUUAUAAAGACAUAUGAAUCAACAUAACUAAAAGUUUCAGUAUGACUCUGACCUAUCCAUCUCUUGCAGCCCCCAGCCGCAGCUCUCUCCAGGUAGUCCACCGCAACGGUCCUUGCGUGGCCAAGUCUGUCAGCAAACCCAGCCACCUUCAAACUCUUGCCCAAGAUUCCUUGCGAGUCGCUUCACUACAGGAAAUAGUUUCCGGCGUCUCCCCUGGUAACGAUACACUACUCCUGGGAAGCCAGGUCUCCAUCCCGGCGAGGAGUGGCCUGUACCUCGGCACAGGUAACUACGUCGUUACCGUCGGUUUCGGCACCCCGAGGAGGGCCCAGACCGUCAUCUUCGAUACCGGCAGCAACGUAAACUGGAUUCAAUGCAGGCCCUGCGUCGUGUCCUGCUACCGGCAGCAGGAACCCGUGUUUAACCCCGCGCUAUCCUCCACCUAUCGCAAUGUCAGCUGCACAGCGUCCGCGUGCGAUCAGCUUACCAGUAGUCGUUGCUCGGGCACCACCUGCCUUUAUGGUGUGUCCUACGGUGAUGGAUCCUCCACAGCUGGAUUCCUCGCCACGGACACCUUCACGCUGACAUCCAAUAACGUGUUCAAGAACUUCAUAUUUGGUUGCGGCCAGAACAACCAGGGGCUCUUUGGGAGGGCCGCCGGGCUGAUCGGGCUCGGACGCAGCCGAUUCUCGCUUAAUUCGCAGGUGGCCAGCAGGCUCGGCAACAUCUUCUCCUACUGUCUUCCAUCUACGAUCAGCUCUACUGGCUUCUUAAACAUCGGCAAACCAUUGGCGAGCGCAGUACGGUAUACGCCCUUGCUGACAGAUUCACGCGCGCCAGAUUUCUACUUCAUUGAUCUUAUUGGAAUAACCGUCGGAGGUACGAAGCUGCCGGUGUCGGCGACCAUCUUCCGAUCUGCUGGCACGAUUAUAGAUUCUGGGACGGUGAUCACCCGCCUGCCACCUGCGGCGUACAGCGCACUUCGGACGGCCUUCCGCGCGGCCAUGAGUCGGUACCCACGGGCUCCGGCGGUCAGUAUACUGGACACUUGUUAUGACUUCAGUAAAGCGGCAAAUGUAACAUAUCCGGUGAUCAAGCUCCUGUACUCCGGUCUGGAAGUCACGCUCCCGGCUACAGGAGUGUUCUAUGUCAUCAGCUCCGCUCAGGUCUGCCUGGCGUUCGCGGGGAACUCGGACUUCUUCGAGAUCGGGAUAAUCGGCAACGUUCAGCAGAGGACGUUUGAAGUUACCUACGACAAUAUAGCGAAAAGGAUCGGGUUCUCCGUGGGGGCGUGCAGCUAAAUCGGCGCGGAGCUUCGACGGGGUCUCCGAAUUCUGGAAAAAAAAAUCAGAUCGUGUUCUGUGAUGCUCCGAAAUCGACUAAAAUUACGGCCUUUUCUCGUAACUUUCCUCUUCUGUUGCGUCGAUAUAUAUCUGAAUAAGCUGGUCAUAGCACAGAUUUGCGACGUCGAUGACUACUAUGUCGGAAUAAUCAUGCAUCUGGUGCAAUUGGAUUGAGAUUGUCAGCCUGUGCCCACAAAUAUGCGAUCCCAUAGGGCUGCGGAGGGGGGAUGGAUGGGGUUAUGAUUGGGGGUCAUUCAUGUGAACUCCUGGGUGUACGGUUCGUUUGGAAAAUGAAUUAGACAACCAUGGAGUCCCUUAAUGUCAACAGCCGACGAAGGAAAAAGGACAUGUCUUUGGCAGAGGAAAACAGAGCUCGAUCUGGUUGGAGACAGUUAUAUUAUAAACGGAAGAAAACUAAGUUUGACCCGCGGCAUUGUUUUCGGACGCAUAUUACUUUGGAAUAUCAUUCGGUACAAAAACUUUGGAAUGUACUUCGCAUUCAUCCGAUAAAAACAAAAAAACAACCGAUGAAAUGAAUCAACAAACCUCUAAAUGGGAUGUUGAAUUCGCGCAAUAACGGAUUGUAAUAUAUGUUUCCUUGACCAUCAAAAUUUCGGUGCAGGAUUUAGUCAUCGUGGAAUAAUAAAUAAGAAAGCUGAUCGCAAUAAAGUCGACCUACCGUCGCCGGCGGCGGCAGAACAACAGUUUUGCCACUGGGCUAAGGAGAGCAUUAACCUUGCCACUGGGCCAAGGGUUCGUCCAUGAAAAGCUGGGUAGCAGCCCAAAACUACGUUUAGAAUGUGCGGUUAUUGGAUCGGCAGAGCCAGUCGUAAGGCCAGCGCCUCCGCCAUACCAGAAGGAUUCCCACCUUCCAAUUCUAUCAUGUACAGAUGAUAUUAUAUGAACGUUUUAAAAAAUAUUUAAUACUGAAUUAUUCAACUAAAUUCAUACCGCACAGUCUACUGCAUAUGCUUUACUAAGUACUAAAUAAUAUACUUUGAAAGCUAUACUUUUAUAUAUUGAUAUAUUGAAUAAGAUGCCUUCUUGACGUCCUAUUUUAUUUUAGGUGACUUGAAUUGGUUUUAUUGCUUAAAAAAUAUUUUAAUAAGACAUAUUCAGGAUUCAUAUUAUUGGAUACUCAUUGAAAUGACUUUAUCUGAUGUAACCUGAAAAUAUAUGCUACAUGUUAAUGGGAUUGCUUAGUGGCUAAUGUAAAUAUAUCUGAGCUAGUUAGUAGGCUUAUCAUUUUUGUCUCUCAAAUAGAUGUUAGUAAAAUUUGUCGAAAUCUGAGAUGAGUUUUGUACGUGGUGUACCCAUAGAUAUCACAUAGUUUGAAUCACAAACUAAGAAAAAAAACAUGGUUAUCUCCUGAAAACGUUAAUUAGCCCCCAAGCUGUUUAGCUAAUAGGCAAAAACCUAUUAGCUAAAGCACCUCAAUCAUUUGACAACUGUAUUUCAACUGUAUUUCUAGCUUUCAACUGUAUUUCUUAAACUAUUCAAAGCUGAAGCACCUCAAUCAUUUGACAACAUUCCUAUGGUGAAGACAACGUUCCUAUGGUCAAGACACCUUAAAUCAACCUUACAUUAUUGGAAAUAAACUACGAUGAAACCUUUCAUACUUUUUGUGACAUAAGCUUGUGAUUAAUUUUGUUUAGUUUCUAUUAUAGUAGAAGUUCCAAUUAGAUGAUUAAACAUAGAAGAAUCUGAAAUAAAUAAUUAUUAUUGGAUUGUGGACAUGGGUAAUAUUUGAAACCAGUAACAAAUAUUUUAGUUACUGGUUUAUGUGCUGGCUUAAGGACCCAUGACAAAAAACUGAUUGGUCAAAUGUGCUGGCUUCUUGAAGGAGGGCUCAAAGGAUAAGAUGGCCCAAAAUCAGAUUAGACCUACAUCUCCCUGACUUCCCAUUCAGCCCUCCAUCCAUCUUCCCGACUUCAGCCAAACUUUAUCACUUUUCUUUUUCCAUGAAAUGUUAAACUACAGGAUUUUCAAUUUUGCAUUCAGUGAAAAUUUCUAUUAAAUAAAUUCAUUUCUCAAUAUGAGCAGCUUUAUAGGGUCUUUAAAUGGUCCAAUCUUAACCAAGUGUGAGGAUCCAUUGUGAGGCCUUCUUGGGCUUAUUACUAUUGUUUUAAAAUAUUGAAGAUCUAGCGGAAUAGUCUCUAAGGUAAUCUUACAUUUCAGUAAAGUGAUUUAAAAUAUAUGGACAUUUUAGACAUAAAAAAUUAAUUUUUAUAUAGAAAUCUAUAAAUAUUGAAACCUAAAAUUUAAAUAUGUCCAAUCUGAGGUUACUGCAACAUAUGCUACAUUGAACAGAAAUAUUUUUAUAGCAGUUUUGUUUGAAUGUAACUGAUGCAGGGAAAUUAUGUGAUUAUCCCAUUGUAAGGCAUUCUUUAUGUCAUUAAUAAUUUAUUGGGAACUUUUAGACAACAAUAGUCUAUGAGCGAAUCAUACACUUCGAUUAUCUCAUUAACAUAUAUUGCUGCACUAGAGGUACAGUAAAGUAGUUUUUAUUAAAAAAACUGAAAAUAUAACUACGUGUGAUUUAAUAUCAUCCUAUGUGAGGUUUCGCAAAUGCAUGACACAUUGAAGUUAUAUAACUUUGUAAAACUUUAUCUGAAUAAACUUGAUUCAGGUCUAUUAGGAGGAUUAUCCCAUUGAAUGGCCUUCAUAGUACUUUCUAAUACUUUGAAGAUGCAAUAGAAGUCUGAGGAAAUAUUAAACUUCAAUUAUGUCAUUGAAAUAUAUGGAGAUAUUAGCCUAACAAUGAAUUCGUUUUUAAUUAAAAAAGUAUAAAAUAUUGGAAUCUACAAUUUAGUUAUAUGCAAUGUGAGGUCAUUGUAACACGUGCUACAUUGAAGUUAUAGAAUUUUAUAACGGUUUGUUUCAAAAAUAAUUGACAUAGGUCAAUGCUCGUUAGUCUAAUCUCGCAAUAAAUGAGGGAGAAAUAAUUCAUCAAAGUCAUUGAUGCUCUACUUAGAUUGGUUAUUUGAUGGUGAAAUCUACAAUAUCUUGAUAACUACCAACUAUAAUAUUGUCCAACUCGCAACAAGUCAAGCUGUUAGCAUAUCAAUGGAGAGCACGUCAAACCUAAACAUGAUUUGAUUGGUCCUCCCCACGACGCAAGAGAAAGAGAGAGAGAAAGACAGGGAGAGUGGGAGAGGGAGAUCGAGAGGGAGAUAAGGGGAGGGAAAGAGGAAGUGAUGGGAGAGGAAGAUGUAGAGGGAGGGAGAGAGAGAGAGAGAGAGAGAGAGAGAGAAGUGGGGCAAAGAGAGGGCAAGAUGGAAGGAGAAUUUAACCAUGUCAAGAUUAUUAUAUUAAAUUAAUCAUAAACUUUGAAGACAUUAAAUUUAGGGAAAGAGAGACGCAUGGAAAACGGAUAAAAUGGACUAGGAAGAAAAUAAUUUUGCUAGGUUUCUUAUUUAAAAUAUGUUCUUCUCUGUAAUAUUUCCUGCAAUGAGAAUAAUCAGACCAACUGUUAUGAUUAAUCCAACCAUUCAAGAAAGGAUUUUUACGGUCGUUAACGCACAAAAAGUGCUUGCGCAUUUGUCUCAGACACGGGUACUAAAGAGAAAUAGUGCUUUAAGAACUUACUUUAUGCCUCACUAUCUCUGAAGUCAUCUUCUAUAUUCGAUAACCUAGUUGAGCGUCGGGACGUAGAUAUCUGAUAUAAAUUUUGCGAUUAUGUUCAACCGAUUCAGUUGACAACAGAAGGGGUGGACCGAUUCUUUUUCUACACGUGGCGAGUGUGGUUUCACGGAUGUGGUACAUUUCUAGUCUUGAUAAUCCGUUGUGUGGAACACUUAGAUGGAGGACAAGCUUUGGCAACCUACCCUUAGAAGAGGAAGCGCACACAUCUUUUUUUUGGAUUUUUUUCGUUUAUACAUUUUUUUAUAAAAACUACGUUGGAGCGUUUCUCAAUCCCAUUCCGUGGAUCUCUAAAGUUUUAUGUUUAAACAACUAGAUAAAAUCGUUGUUUCAGAUUGUCUUCAUGUUUGUACAGUCAUAUACGUUCUAGUUUUUAUAGAGUAGCUCUUCCCGGUGAAGUAGAGCGUCCCCCGAACCGCGUAAAAUAUAAUCUCCCCUUCAUUUCUCAGUUGAAUACUCCACUAUUUUCUAUAUUCUCGUUGCUAAAUCGGUUUAAGUACUCUUGCGAAUGAAGAGGUGUCACGCGUGUCAACAACCUCAGCGUGGGUUCGUACCUUUCCCAAAACAAUUUGCACGAAACUUAGUGUCGGGAGACCUAACACAUUCAUAAAUACUUGCAUGUGCGUCGCCCAAUUUGGAAAUUCAAGUGCUUAUAUAUUUAUUUAAAGAGACGCCUACAAUGAGUCGACUCAUUGACUUUUCAACUUCGAAGAACUGGCCCAGAAACCGUCUUGUCGCUUUCAGAAUGCACAUGCCGCCAUGGAAACGUCAUAUUUGCGGGAUGAUUGAUGCCGGUACGUUGCUUCGAGUUCUACGUGUCUGCGAGAACCGAGCCUAUAAAAAUCCUCUCUCAGUUCGGUGUCGACGCCAACCAUACCAGAGCGAUGGCAGCGUGGGCGUCCUUUCUGUCCUCCGGCCUGUUGUGGCUGAUCCUUUUCUCGUCUGGCGGACAGGCCUAUGGGCAGAGCACCUUCGGAACCGUCAGAAUUACGAGCCUGGUAGCCUCUGCCAGUUGUUCGCCGUCCAAAGGUUGACCGUUUUUUGGCUGGUCUACUGAGAUUUCCUAUAUUCAUAUCUAAAGUCGUAAAGCCAUGUAUUUUAAAAGCAUGUGAAUCAGUAUGAUCCAGGAUCACGGUAGAAAUCUGACCCAUGUAUUUGUUCCAGCUCCCAGUCACAGCUCUCUGCAGGUCGUCCAACGCAACGGUCCUUGCGCAGCCAGGUUCGUUAGCAAACCCAAUCACCUUCAAGCUCUCGCCCAGGAUUCCCUGCGAGUCGCUUCACUCCAGGCAAUAGUUUCCGGCGUCUCUCGCGGGAACGAUACACUGCUCCUUGGAAACCAGAUCUCCAUACCGGCGAGGAGUGGCCUGUACCUCGGCACCGGUAAUUACGUCAUUACUGUCGGUUUUGGAACCCCGACGAAGAGCCAGACCGUCAUCUUCGAUACCGGAAGCAACGUGAACUGGAUCCAGUGUAAGCCGUGCGUUGUAAGCUGCUACCCGCAGCAAGAGCCGUUGUUCGAUCCCGUCCUCUCGUCUACCUACCGUAAUGUCACCUGCACGGCUUCCGCGUGCCUCGGACUUAGCAGCAGAGGUUGCUCGGGCACCACCUGCCUCUAUGGGGUGACCUACGGCGACGGAUCCUCCACCGUCGGAUUUCUCGCCACGGAUACUUUCAAGCUGACCUCCACCAGCGUGUUCAACAACUUCAUAUUUGGGUGCGGCCAGAGCAAUGGGGGACUCUUCCGGGGGGCCGCCGGGCUGAUCGGGCUCGGACGCAGCCCCUACUCGCUGAACUCGCAGGCGGCCAGCAGGCUGGGCAAUAUCUUCUCCUACUGUCUCCCUUCCACAAGCAGCUCCACCGGCUACCUCAACAUCGGCAAUCCGUUAAAAACUACAGUUGCUUACACGCCGCUGCUGACCGAUUCACGCGCGCCUACCCUCUACUUCAUUGACCUCAUUGGAAUUACCGUAGGGGGAACACCGCUUCAAUUGUCGCCGACCGUCUUUCAAUCCGUCGGGACAAUCAUCGACUCCGGGACUGUGAUCACCCGCCUACCCCCUACGGCGUACAGCGCACUUCGGACGGCCUUCCGCGCCGCCAUGACACGGUACCCAACGGCUCCGGCGGCUAGUAUACUAGACACUUGUUAUGACUUGCGUAACGCGGCGACCGUGACGUAUCCCCAGAUCAAGUUAUUAUACAGAGGUAUCGAGGUCACGCUUCCAUCGACCGGGGUGUUCUACGUCAUCAGCUCCGCACAGGUCUGCCUGGCGUUCGCCGGGAACUCGGACUCCACCCAGAUCGGCAUCAUUGGCAACGUUCAGCAGAGGUCGUUUGAGGUGACCCAUGACAAUGUUGCGAAAAGGAUCGGGUUCUCAGCCGGGGCUUGCAGCUGAUUCCCCGCGGAGCGCCUUGGUUGUUUCCGAAGUCUGGAAAAAAGAUCGGAUUGCUUUCUUUGAUGCACUGAAAUGGAUUGAAUCUGUGGCUUUUCUUGUGGAUAUUCUCUUUGUGAGCGGCGAUAUAUUUGAAUAAGUCUGUCAUAGCAUAUAUUCUGCGUCACCGAUGGCCACUCUUUCGAUAUCGUCUUGCAUUUGGUGCAAUUGAGUUGGGGCUGUUAGCCUCUUCGACAGGUAAGACAAACCCCCCUCGGUUGUGGAUGAGGGAUGCAGGGGGACGACCGGGGGGCAUGAUGUACCUUUAUAUGAACAGCUGAGAAAGGAAGGAGGGACGUGCGUUUGCUAGAGGAAGAAACCGCUAGUUCUUCGUGAAGUUGGUGAGGUUAUCAACUGAACAGAUCUUCGGUUGACCCCCAGGAUUUUUUCUGACCCACCCAACGUUAUUGAGUAUUCCUUGAAUUAUCAUUCAACUCGUCUAACAUUAAAAUGGGUUUAGCCUUUAGAUCAUCGCAAAAACAGCGGCUAAGCCGAUGAAGAGCGACCUUUGGAUCAAUCAGCAGACUGGUAGCUAAACUUCCCACUAUAACCGCUUGUAAGUUAUGUUUCCUUCUAAAUAAAACUUUUAAUCAGGAGUCAUUCGUAUUGUAAUAAAAAAUAAUAAAGAUGUUCACAAUGAAAUAGAUACUAAACAACGACCAUGCCACUGGGUUUAGCUUCAUGAACUGGGCUAAGGUCUGAUCCAUGGAGAGCUGUGAACAGCCCAAAACCAUCCUGAUCUAGCUGACCGGAAUGUAAAGGCUUUUUAAAGCUUCACGAAGAAUGCGACGCGUCAAGUUUUCUGGGACUUAUUGGAUCGGCAGGGCCGCUCGUAUGCAAGUGUCUUUCCCUACGUAAACGGUUCCCACCUUCCACCCCUGCACCUCCGGAAUCGAUUUGCCCAAAACUCUUCGUUGAAAAUUGGCAAGAUUGGCAUUCUAAUAGUUGACGGAUGCCAUUUGAUAGAAAUUUUCCUUAGACUUUCUGGAACUUCCAAGGCUAUUAGUCUUGGGGUACACCAUAAAGAUGACAUGAGCUAGACCUAGCAUAUUGACACGUAUUAUUGGAUUGUGAGAAAAGUAUGGGAAUGCAAAUUGAAGAAUUCGUCUCAUUUCAUUAUGUCAAACGUUCUAUGAUAUGAUUUAAAGUUUCUGUGUGAAAUUUUUUACUAAAUAAAGUUUAAUUAUCAAUAUGAUUUGAGCAGCUGUGGGUUUUUCUGAUCUGUAAAUGAUGUUAUAAAUGUAAUAGAAGGAAUUAUAUGCUACAUUUGAAAUACUAGGUCUUUUUUAAGGCCUUAUUUAUUUUUGAGCACUUUAUUAAAAUAUUUAUUAUAUAAUAGAAUAUGCUACGAGCAAGUCAUACAAUUCAGUUAUGUCGCUGCCAUGUACGUAGAUGUUAGACUUGAAAUGAAUUAGUUUCUAUGUCAAAAAUCUACAAACAUAGAAGCCUAAAGCUAAACUACAUUCAAUUCAAUGUGGAUCUAACCUGUGGUGCAUUGAGGUUUUAGGGCAGCAUUAAUCUAAUGCCUUGAUUAAAUAGUGGAAUAAGAAGCACAAGACACAAUAUUCUUUAGAAGAAUAAGGUUUGAAUGGCAUGGAUUGAAUUUUGGUGAAAAAAACUUAAAACACCUUAUAAUGGCUAUCGAAAGGAGAGGCUACGUUCCAGUACAAUUGAGAACACAAGAUAUCUAAGAAUAAAAGAAAAUUAACUCGUAACGGAGCCACAAAAGGGGGAGAUGCAAGAUCCCAAAUUUUUGCUAUUGGAGAGAAAGGGUUUACGUGUUCAUUCUUCUCUCCAACGAUCCCUCUUAUUUAAUAAUCUCUCGCACAAAGGGGGCUUCUCCGGACCCGUUUUUGAUAUAUGAAAUAAAACAAACGAGAAAGGGGAGACGUCCCAGAAAACUUCUCCCAGUUAAUUGACAAGGUCAACCUAACAGAUGUUAUGUACUUUUAUAUCAUUUCAUUUCAAAAAAAUUGCUGCAGGUCAAAUCACCAUUUGUUAGACUAAUGGCACAUUUAAAUGAGGGAAGUAAAGAGUUGAUAACAGUCAGUGAUGAUGCAUUGGAUUGCUGAUCAUUAUUAUUUUUUCUGGAGGGAGAGUUUGAAGUGUUAGCAUUACUACCAUAACUUCAUCACAAACUUUUAAGACUAGUUCGAAUUUAGAUAGAGUGACCGCGUUGAAAGUCAUUGUAACGUGGUACGCAAAUACGCUUAGUGAUUUCUCAUUUCACAUAUGUUAUGCUCUGUGGAAAAUCCAUGCAAUCAGAAUAACUAGACCAACCGAAUUGAUUAAUCCAGCCGUUCAACAGACACAAGGACGUCUUCCCAAGGAUGUUGGCCGUCGUUAAUGGACUAGAGAUAAUUAAUGCGUUUGUCUCAGACACCCGGUCACAAAAGAUAAAUAGUGGCUAUAGAACUUCGGUUUUUUCUCACUUUCUCUGAUGUUUUCUUCCUCAUCUUUAACUCGUUUUAGUUUCAGGACAUACGGAUGCGAGAUAAGUUUAACGAUUUUUCAUCAUCGUUUCACUAGACGAUAUUAGGGCUCUCUGAUUAUUUCUCUUCUCAUGAUGAGUGGGGUGUCAGGGUGCGGUUCGUCCGUUGUCCGUUGAAUCUACUCUGUGAACCCAACUGGAGGCAGGAAGGCAUGCUUUCGGAAUCUUCCUCUACGGAGCGGAGAUGCACGCAUCCAUUUUGGUUUAUACUUUCUUCUGUAUUAUACUGUAGCGUCUUUCAAUCUGAUUUAGUAAAUUUCUGAAGUUUUUUCUUCUAUCAGCCCGAUUAAAUGGUUUUUUUUCAUUUUUUUAUGUUUGUAGAUUCUUAUGAAAAGGAAUCUAGAACGUCCCAUGAACGGCGUAAAAUAUUAUCUCCUCUUCACUGUGUUGAUUCGUCUUGUAUUUUGGAUAUUCUCGUAGCUUAAUUGGUUCAUAGAUUCAUGCCAAGAGAGGGGAUCUAGACGUUAGGCGACUAACUGACCUCAUCGUGCGUUCGUACCUUUCCCGCAACAUUUUCUACAAAAGGCACAAAGCGUCUGGAGCCCUAACAGAUUUAUAGAAUCUCUCAUGUGCACCGGUGACAUCGGAAAUUCAAGGACUUAUUUACUUCAAGGGAUGUCUCGACCUACUGGCUUUGUAGGUUUGAAGAACUAGCCCGAAACUGCCAUGUCAUUUUCGCCCAUACAGCCAUGGAAUCGUCAUAUUUGCGAGAUCAUUCACGCCGGUACGUUGCUCUGGCCUUGGAAAGUUGUCUGCACGAAGCAGGCCUAUAAAAAGCGUGUCUCGACCCGGGGUCUACACUAAGCCAUACCACAGCAAUGGUGGCGUGUGAGACCCUGAUGUUCUCUUUUGGCACGCAGGCCCAUGGGGAGAGAAACUUAGCAGCCGUCAAAGUUAGGGGCCUGGCGCCGUCCGCCAGUUGAUCCCCUCAACCAGCUUCCGCCGGAGGCCGGUAGGAUUUAAAAAAAAACUGUCAUAUGCGUCGGCGACGCUGGAAAUUCAAGGACAUUUAAAAAAAUGUCUCGAUCCACUGCUUGCAAGUUUGAGGAAUUAGGCCAGAAACGGCCUUGUCGCUUUCACUACGUCCAUGCCGUCAAUAGGAAAUGGGUAAUUUUGGGGAUAAUUCACGCCGGUACGUUGUUUUGACCUCAGCAGGAAGAAAGCCUAUAAAGAUCGUUUUCUCCCCACAGGAUGGACCCACAACCAUACUACAGCAAUGACAGCGUGUGCAUCCCUCUUGUCCUCCGUCCUGUUCUGUCUGAUCCUGUUCUCCUUUGGCGGUCAAGCCGACGGGGAGAGCACCUUCCUCACCGUUGAGGUUACGAGCUUCGUACCCUCCGCCGAUUGCUCCCCGUCCAAAGGUUGUGAGUCUUUUUCGGCUGGUCUAAUCACACUGAUAAUCAUAUCGAAAGUUAUAACUAUGCAUAUUGAUCAAUACUAAUGAAUCAAAUAAUGAAAAGUCUCGGUACUAGUCUGACAUAUCGAUCUCUUGCAGUACCCAGCCACAGCUCCCUCCAAGUCGUCCAACGCAACGGUCCUUGCGCAACCAAGUCUGUCAGCGAACCCAGCCACCUUCAAGCUCUCGCUCUGGAUUCCCUGCGAGUUGCUUCAUUGCAGGAAAUAGCUUCCGGCGUCUCCCGUGGUAACGAUACAUUGCUCCUUGGAAGCCAGAUCUCCAUCCCCGCAUGGAGUGGCCUGUACCUAGGCACCGGCAAUUACGUCAUUACAGUAGGGUUUGGCACCCCAGCGAGGACCCAGACCGUCAUCUUCGAUACCGGCAGCAACGUAAACUGGAUCCAGUGCGAGCCUUGCGCUGUAAGCUGCUACCCGCAGCAAGAACCGUUGUUCGAUCCGGGACUCUCAUCAACCUACCGUACUGUCUCCUGUACGGCGCGCGAAUGCCUCAGACUAACCAGCAGUAGUUGCGCGGGCACCAGCUGCGUUUAUGGGAUGAAAUAUUUUGACGGAUCCGCCACCGUUGGAUACCUCGCCACGGAUACUUUCACACUGACGUCCACCAACGCGCUCAGCAACUUCAUAUUUGGGUGCGGCCAGAACAACACAGGGCUAUUUAAGGGGGCCACCGGUCUAAUCGGGCUUGGACGCAGCCCCUACUCGCUGAAUUCACAGGCGGCCAGCAGCCUGGGUAAUGUCUUCUCCUAUUGUCUCCCUUCCACAGGCGGCUCCACCGGCUAUCUCAACAUCGGCAAUCCGUUGGGAACUACCGUUUUUUACACGCCGAUGCUGACCAGUUCACGCGCUCCUACCCUCUACUUUAUUGAUCUCAUUGGAAUUGCCGUAGGGGGGACACAGCUUCCAUUGUCACCGACCGUCUUUCAAUCUGUAGGGACAAUCAUAGACUCCGGGACGGUGAUCACCCGCCUACCCCCUGCGGCGUACAGUGCACUUCGGGCGGCCUUCCGCGCCGCCAUGACGCGGUACCUCCUGGCUCCGGCGACUAGUAUACUGGACACCUGCUAUGACUUCCGUGACGUGGAGACCGUGACAUAUCCGGAGAUCAGGCUCCUGUACACCGGUCUCGAGGUCCCGCUUCCGGCGACAGGGGUGUUCUACGUCAUCAGCUCUGAACAGAUCUGCCUAGCGUUCGCCGGGAACUCGGAUUCCAUCCAGGUCGGCAUCGUUGGCAACGUUCAGCAAAGGACGUUCGAGUUGACCUACGACAAUAGUGCGGAAAGGAUCGGGUUCUCAGCUGGGGCAUGCAGCUGAUUUGCCGCGGAGCGUCAAGGGGGUCUUUGAAGUUCAAAAUAAGUUCCACAUCGUCUUAUAUCAUGCACUGAAGCUGCGUGAAUUUGCGUCUUUUUCUCAUAGUUGUGCUCUUUCUGUACGGGGUAUAUAUCUGACUAAGUUGGUUUUAGAACAUAUUAUGAGUCAUCGAUGACUGUACUAUCGAGUUCAUUCUUGAUUGAAUGACAUUUAUAUUAGCUGAGUGAACGUGGUAGACGAAAUAAAUUCUGGAAUGGAUUUUGCUGCCGGCAGGUAGAGCGCAAAAGCAGAGUUGGGGAACAGAAUGGAUGUGAUAUUUACGUCGCAGUGCCUGCUUAGCAUAAGAGACGGGCAAGCAACCAGAUAUCGGAAGAACGACAACCUUUAAAUCAGUGAGAUAACGCUUGAACGGUACAUUACUGUUCAACUGUAACGAUUCUCAAUCCCUUUUUCCAUGAACAUAGUUUACAUUUACAUUUAAUUUACGAUCCCGGUUGCUCUGUUCAGUGGCCCUCUCCAGUAGAUCUCGGCUGAAUAGAGGAUAUUUGGCUUUGCUUAUGGAACUAAAGUAAGGUUGAUCCAUGUGAAGAUUAAGCUUCGACAAGUUAUGCCCAAACCUACGGCUUAACAAAGGUACUAGGCCUUUCUGUCAUUGGGCCAAAACUUCCACUCUACUGUCGAGCGGUUUUCUGCCCACAACGGUCAUCCAGUCUGGGCCACAACGGACCGCGGUUCCUCCAGUUCACUUGAUACGAUACCCGAUCCGCCACUCCACUGUGAAUCAUUUCCUGAUCCGCCUCCCAUUGGCGCGGAUCCACUCCACGAUCCCGGAUCCGAAAGCUUCUGGUGUGACACUUUUCCAACGGAAUUAAUGGGCCGUGCUCUCCCAAGUGGGAGCCCCUCCCGCUUAGAAAAAUAGUUUUCACCUUCCAGCUGCCAUCUCUGUAUUUUAUAAUCGGCAGUGAUGAUCUAAGAAAAGAUUUCAGGUCUUUCGUCCCAUAAAAAAUUUUGAUUCUUAGGCUUGGAAGAUUAUCAGCCUUGGGAUGCAAAAAUAAACGUGCAUUUCCCCACUAGUUUGGCAUUUUUUUGGGAUGUUGUGUCAAAGGAAGAGAAGACUGUCCAUAGUCAACAACCGUAUUAUUUUUGUUUUAAAGAACUGUUAUUUUUAUUACACUUUCAGAUAUCUAAUAUAUAUAUAUAUAUUAGGUCUGAUUAUCUUCAUUAGCCAAUGAGGAUAUUUCACAAACAUUGUAGCCAUUUUGGUUAUCUUAAAAAAGUUGAAAUGAAAGUGUUAGAAAGACGAUGAAUGAUAGGUGUAGGCUACACCAAUCAUGAUCAAUUGAUCAUCAGAUCGAUGAUCAUGAUCAAUCGAUCACUGAUGAUGAUCAGUGUUAAUGGUCAUGAUCACAAUCACGAUACGAGUCCUUGAUCGAUCGUCGAUCAAUCGACAGAUUGUUAUCCUACAGUUAAGCUUCUUUUGGAUGAUGAUUUUCCAUCAUCCAAUGGCUAUGAUUCAACCUAGGGGAGAGAUUAAUUAUUAUAUUAUAUCAUAAUAUAAUAAAAUUAUACUAUAAUAUAUUAUAUUGUUAUACUAUAAUAACAAUCGACAAUCAUUGACUAUAUAUUAUAUCAUCGAUCACAAUAACCGACAAUCACGAUUAGGAAUUUUGGCUGAUCAGAUCGACGAUUGAUCAUGAUGAUCAACAAACUCUAAGCGAAUGGGGUGAGACAUGGGAAACUACUUGUUAGGUAGAGAACCUCGUCAAAUACUUUUAUUGUUAAUCCUAAUAGGAGACGACAAUGGAGGGACACUUUUAUUGGCAUUACUAUGUUUUCCAUCACACUUGAGACCUCAUUGCCCUCCACAAGUUCAAUAAAGAGAUCUAGUUGUAACCAAGUAUGGAAUCGAUACUCUAGCUAGAGAGGAAAGAGAAAUCAAGCACAAAGGAUCAAUGUACCUUGCCUAAGGGCUAAUGAUCUUUUAGAGUACCAUAUAAUAAUAAGAAUGAAAUAUGGCUGAACAUAUUUUUGCAUCGCAAGCUACAAUUAGAGAUAUAACUUUUAGUAUGAGCAAUAUGUUAAGCUUGCAGACAGUCCAAUCAAAUUUUGUCUCACGGAUUGACCUCAUGACUAAAAUCAGUUUAAAAUACUAAGGAAAACCUAAUUUAUUAGUCAAGUCAGUACCAAGUCUUGUUUAUAAUCAUGCGCUUUCAACUUAUGGUGUCCGCUUACUUUAGUUUACAAGGUAAAUGGGGAAUUAUGUUGUUGAAGGAUACACUGAUCUCUCCCUUGUGAAAAAGCCUCAAAAGGAGUUGAUCUUGGACAAGAUGAAAUGACUAGAGUAACCUUAAAGAAGCAACCUAGAACAACUCUCACAUUGAGUCUAUAAGUUUUCAAAGGAGAUGAAGAUACAACUAAGUGAUUGUCCUACAAGAAUUAAAAAAAAAAUCAACAUGAUUAAAAAAUUUCUGGGGAUUAGAAUGCUCUACUAAAAAAAAAUUGAUUACCAAAAUUAAGGGGUACUCAGCCAGCUAUGACAAUAAGUUGACCUAUCUAUGUAUCAUUCAAGAGCAAAUCUAAGGGCAAUGUACUAAAUAAAUAAAAUACUCAUUCUGAAAGAAAAAGGACACAAAGCUUAUCUCAAUGUCAAAGUAGGUGUUUUUUCUAAGGAGCAGAUGUUGAUGGUGAAUCCUUAUCUAUUGAUUGUUGACUAUGUUGACUAUUGACUAGACAAUGAUAAUUGACUAUCGAAUGGGUGACCCCUAAUUAACUGACUGUUGACCGACAGUGAUGGAACUGCUUUACAAUUUGGCCCUCAAAAUUUCUCUGAGUGACUUGGGUUUUUUGUAUCCAAGUGGUUCCAAUCUAGCAAAAUCUGGACUAGUUCAAAUUGGGUAGUAAUGCCAUGGUUCAUUGUAGGUUAAUGAUGCAUUCAAUUUUAACUUGAUAAUUAAAAUCAUAAAAUAUAAUUCUGAAAUAUGUUGUAAAUCUAUGUCAAAUCCUUGUGGAUGAUUUGAUUUAUUUUUAAUUCAAAUGUCAUCUUCUACGAAGGUAAAUGAUUUUUAGAAUAAUUAAAUGAAGAUUUUUAAGAUAAAAUAUUUUUUAAAGAAAUAAAAACGUAAGUACAAAAAAAAAGGAACUAAAUGAAAAUAGAAGCUAUGAUUUCACAUGAAUCUCUAGUAUCUCGCUCAAGUUGAUGAUGUCAUGUCAAACUUGCAGGGCUGAAGAUAUACAUGUGUGCUAGAGAGAUAGAUAGAUAGAUAGAUAGAUAGAUAGAUAGAUAGAUGGAUAGAUAGAUGGAUAGAUGGAUANNNNNNNNNNNNNNNNNNNNGAGAGAGAGAGAGGGAUAACAUAUAAAUGGAUGCUUGGUUUUAGCCUCCACUAUGAUCUAGAAAAGGGGAUUGAAUUGAUAUCUUUUUCUUUUCUAAUUAUAUAUUCUUAAAAUAGAGUCCAAUCUAUAUAACAAUAUAUUUUUUUAUUCACUUCCAAUACCUCCAUUCCUAGUGGUUUCGCAAACUCUCUAUGUCAACUCUUUAAGAACAUAUCUAUUCUUAGGUUUUGUUAUCACUUUAUGUCUAAGAAUAAAUUAUGAUUAAUUAGUUUCAUUCCAUAUAAUAUUCAGCCCAAGACUCUCUUCUAGAUUCAGAACUCUAAGAAGAAAAAUUAUUGUUGAAUAGAGAGAGCUCAUUUGAAAUUUUUCUCAAAAAUUUUAUUUUAAAUUCACAACUUUAGAAAGCUCAUACCAUUGUUUCACUAAUCUAGCUCAUACUUGAAGCAUUAAACUUUAAGAUUAAAUUUAUUCCACAAAAAAUGACAAAACACAUCAUCAUAGGUCUUCUCUAAAAGUAGAGGUUUAAUUAAAAAUAGCUCCAGAGUAAUAAUGAUCGUAUAAUUUUUGAAUGCCCUUUGAUUCCUUAGUAUAUGGUAGCAAUGCAUCAGCAAAAUUUAUUUUGAUUAAAAAUGUAUUCAAAGGUCCUUAAAGAUGCUGGAUAUUAAAUACUUGAACCUAUUUUAAGAAGGUAGACGAGUGUGCAUAGAUAUUCAUUCGAAGUGUUGGUAUUUAUAAAUAAAUCAUCUAUAGAAAACCACUCAUAUCUCUCAGAUCUUCAAUGUCUAUUUUUCUUGGAAAAGUUAUAAAUUAGAAUGGGAGGAAGUUCAAUAUGAUAUUACCUAUUACCCCACAUUGUUAAAACAUAACAUUUAUAUUCAUUUUUUGAUGGUUGAAAAUGAUUUGAUAAGAAUACGAAAAACAAAAUCUUGAACAAAUGACACAUGAUUUGUUCAUACAACGAAAUUUGAUAGACAAGCUGGUAUUAAUCUACUCAAAAUCUUUUUUAUCCUCAAGUAUGUCUCUAAACAAGAUACCUGUAUGUAAUGAUAGCUAUAGAUGUGUCUAUUUAUUGGAAGGUCUUUUAAAAUAGAAAAUAUGUAGUAAGUUAUGUAAAGAACUAUGUAAUUUUUUUUUGCAAUGAGAAUUUUCUUAAUGCAUGGUUUACAUGUUUGUGUGAAAUCUGAUGAGGUUACUUUCAGUUUGUGAUGGUUGUUUCAGGCAACCAAGAAAUAUCCCAAAACUCAUCCUUUAAGAAGGAAACUUUAGCCUGUGGUCUUCAGGCUUGUUAUCGUGUGUGUAAUCCUUUGGGGAAGUAGUGGACAUAGAGGAGAGGUAGCUGUUAAGCCUUGGAUAUAGCUAGGAGGGUAAAUCACUCUAAAAGUUCGUUACUUCACCUAUGUGUCUGGUGUUUGUUUCCAACCAUCCCAAUAGAUUCAUGUGCCUAAGUUAAAAUACUGCAUGUAGUUGAAGAGAUUAACUAAUGAACUGUAUUUCUAUUAUCCUCGCUGCAUAUCCAAACGUACUGUAAAAAUAGAAAAUUAAUUUUUCGUAACUAAAUUGGUAAUUCUUAAAUGUUUGAGCGAAAUAAAUUAGAGAUUAUAAUUAAGUAUAUGCUACAAAAAGUCUAUUUCCACUGAGGACAUAAACUCUCCUAUCGUUCUUUAAGAUUGACAAGGAAUGGCAUAGGUUGUUUGGUGUGUAGAGGAAGUUAAGUUGAUAGGUUGCCUCGCAUGGUGAGGCCAUUUAGUUGAUGGAGACGUGACAAGUGUUAUGAUAAUUUGUUUGACACACUUAGGCCAUUUAGUUGGUAAGGAAUUGAUUGCCUUAAAACAGUUCGGUUUCCAGUAUUAUGAUCACAAGAGUGGUUGGCAGCUUUGAAAGCUAUUCAAUUGUUCGUGAGUAUUUGGGUCUCACUUUUGUAGAAUUAGGGAAAGCUUUAUAAGUGAGAGCUAUUGGAAAAAGGAUUGAAACCUAGGAGUGGAAACCCUUCAAAAACUAUGUGCGUCUCUUAUCGAUUUGAUUCUUUUAGUAAAUAUGGACAUCCCAUAUUUACUAAACUACAGAAUAAGAGUACGAACACAAGGAUCGUAUAGUGGUUUGAACAGUGUUGGCACUUAACUCUGCGUACUCUAAUUCUGAUCCAUCUUUCAACGUGGAUUAACAAUAUCCUAUUGGCUUCUUAUUCUAGUAAAUUAGAAAACUAUAAUUUAAGGAUUAAAAUGAGCUAGACUAGCAAUCUCUACUUUCAAUGAAAGUGUCACGGUGCUAGACAAAACAACUACUGAUUAGUACGAACUUGAAUUAGAUUUCCAUAGCCCCGGUAAAACUUGACGUCAAGUUUGAAUGAUAUUUGUAUAUCAUUUCCAUGAAAAGUCAUCGUUGUUAAUAUACUUACACUAAAAUGUCUAUAAGAACUGUUUUAUCCAUGAAUAUAAUUUUUCAGCAUCAAAGCACAUUACCACAAAUCUCAACAGUUCACCAAUUGUUGGACACCUAUGAGUGCAUUUAUCAGUUCUUGCCUAACUAGUUCUCUGCUUAAGAAUGGUCCAGGUCAGAACCUAUUUUUCUAAAGUGUCUAUGAAGUUAGCUAGAAACUGAGGUGGAUGGUUUCAGCGUGCAUAGGCAAGAUUGGCCAACAAACACUGGGGUUAAUUCGACAUAAUAUUGUAAUAAAGCACAACUAAUGCGACGGCGACAGUCGAUACCGGGGGAAUUAUGUCGAGAGAGACGUAUGCCACGCGUCAACCGAGGGCUGCCGUACCAGGGGAGGAAGCAAUUGCGGAAUGGUCUUAUUAUCACGUCAACAUGCCCUGGCCGUGAAGGAAAUCUCCAUUUGCGAAGGAUUCGUGAGGGUCAGUGUUUUGGGGGGGGUCCUUGCACGUGUCCAAAUGGGAGCUAGUAAACGACGCGGCGUUGCUCUCGAAGGGAGCCUUAUAUGUCCGUCAUCUACUCAGACCUAUUGUAGCUACUUUUUCCAAACGAUGGGUAGCCGUGCCAGUCGGAACAGCUUGCUGCCGCCGAUCGGUCCUCCCAUUGGAAGGAUCGAAAGGUGAACCGAUUUGGAUUUGUCGUCCCCAAAGGAAGAGAGGUGAGUGAGAUGAAGAGGCUAAAACAUAAAUAACUUAUCAUGAAUUAUUAUGUAAAUCGAAAAAUUAUUCCAAAUUGUAGAAGAUAUUAAUCGUGUUAGGCGGAAAUCGGAUUCAAUGGCCUUGGAAACAAAGAGGCUAAGUGGCUUUCUAGUUUAAAACCUAUUAUGCUCUCUAUGUGACCCUUGAAAAGGUAAUGAUAAAGUCAACACAUAUAAUUAAUUGAACAAUGCAAAGUAAGCAACGAUAUCUUCUGACGGAGCUUGGCUGUGGAGAACGAGGUUAAGCGAUGCUUGUCUCUAUCACUUGGGGACGUGAGACGGUUAGCGUAUGUGGGACUUCCCUUUCGUCCCUCGAUCUCUCCUAUUAUCUCUUACCACGCAUCUAGCCGCAGAAUCUUAGACACAGACGGUAGGCUCGUUUAAUUCUAGUUUUUCAUGUGGUGGACAUUGAGGCCAGGAAUGCGGUUCCUUCCGUGUCGUGGUAUCUAUUAAAAGUUCACCAUAUAGAGGAAGAAAAUACGUUUUGAAAAGCUCACUCUUCUAUGAGCGGAGAUACGAGAUCAUUUGUUCGGAUUAUCUGAAAUUUUACUUUCUUUCAUAUUUGAGCACAAUUUCUUCAGCCACGAGAUAAAAGACCUUUUUGGGCUUAUCUUCUAUAUGUUUACUGACGUGGAAAGUUUCUCUCGUACUAUGUAAACUAUUGUCUCCUAUUGAUCGUUGUGUACCUGAUUCUUUAUUUCUCCUUCACUGAGCUUUCAACUCGCGGAUAUUUGCUGCACAAGAGAAGUUCCAUUUCUGAAUCACCUUGCUCUGAUACGCGUAACUCUCGCACAUAUUUUUUGCCGCCAGCACAGCAUCUGGAGAUGCUAACACGUUCAUAAAAUUUCUCAAAUGCAUCGGGGACCAUUGAAAUCCAAAUAAUUAUUGGCUGAAAGAGACGUCAACAACGUGUCAAAGUACUGGCCUCCUAACAUGGGAGGAACGAUAGCAGAAGCGGCCUUAUCUCUCUUCCAUGCCAUUGCUAACAAGGAAACGCCAGAUUUGUGUGACGAUUCAGGCCGGCACGUCACUUUCGCUCUUGCAAGUGGUCAACCGGGAACAAGCCCAUAAGGAGUCAUUUUUCGCCAGAGCAGCCACCAAAUCGCACCCCAACAAUGGCAGCGUGGGCGCCCUCGUUGUCUUCAGCCCUGUUGUGCCUUCUUUUGUUCUCCUACGACGGUCUGGUCAUUGGGCGGGACAGCAGCUUCGCAGCUGUUCGACUUGCGAGCUUGGUGCCUUCCCCUAAUUGCUCUCAGAUCAAAGGUUUACUCCCUCAACCAACUUUUGUGGGACUCGGAACUUUAUCCUAAUUCUCGAGAUUCCUUGGUUGAGUGAUAAUUUUUCUAGCCCAAUUUGCCCUCUUACAUCGGGAUGUACAUAAAACUCUUAUGUCAUAGAAACAUUUCGAUAAACUUAUUUAAUCAAUGAGUAUUCGUCUGAUCUCUCAUUCUGUUGCAGUCCGCAGCCACAGCACUAGGCAGAUAGUCCAUCGUUACGGUCCCUGCGCAGCCAAGUCUGUUAGCAAACCCAGCCACCUUCAAGCUCUCGCCCAGGAUUUCCUGCGAGUCGUUUCAUUGCAGGAAAUAGUUUCUGGCGUCUACCAUGGAAACGAUACAUUUCUUGGAAGCCAAAUCUCCAUCCCGGCGAGGAGUGGCCUGUACCUCGGCACCGGCAAUUACGUCAUUACUGUCGGUUUUGGCACCCCGACGAGGAAUCAGACAGUCGUUUUCGAUACCGGCAGCAGCGUGAACUGGAUCCAGUGUAAGCCGUGCACUAUAAGCUGCUACCCGCAGCAGGAACCGUUGUUUGAUCCUGACGUCUCGUCUACCUAUCGUAAUGUGACCUGCUUGGCUCCCGCAUGCCUCGGACUUAGCAGAAGCGGUUGCUCGGGUACUACCUGCCUAUAUGAGGUGACAUACGGUGACGGAUCCUCAACCGUCGGAUUUCUCGCCACGGAUACUUUCACGCUGACGUCCACCAACGUGUUCAACAACUUCCUGUUUGGGUGCGGCGAAAAAAACCUGGGGCUGUUUGAGGGGGCCGCCGGGCUGAUCGGGCUCGGACGCAGCCCCUUCUCGGUUAAUUCACAGCUGGCCAGCAGCCUCGGCGAUACCUUCUCCUACUGUCUCCCUUCCACAAGCAGCUCCACCGGCUACCUCAACAUCGGCAAUCCGUUAACAACUACCGUUGGGUACACGCCGAUUCUUACAGAUUCACGCGCGCCGACCCUCUACUUCAUUGACCUUAUUGGAAUUACCGUAGGGGGGAUACGGCUUCCAUUGUUGCCGACCGUCUUUCAAUCAGUCGGGACAAUCAUAGACUCGGGGACGGUGAUCACACGCCUACCCCCAUCGGCGUACAGCGCACUUCGGACAGCCUUCCGCGCCGCCAUGACGCAGUACCCACUAGCUCCUGCGGCAAGUAUACUUGACACUUGUUAUGACUUCCGUAACGCGGCGACUGUGACAUAUCCGGUGAUCAGACUACUGUACACUGGUCUCGAGGUCACUCUCCCGGCUACAGGGGUGUUUUACGUCAUCAACUCCGGGCAGGUCUGCCUGGCGUUUGCUGGGAAUUCGGACUUUACCCAGAUCGGCAUCAUCGGCAACGCUCAGCAAAGAACGUUUGAGGUGACGCAUGACAACAUUGCAAAAAGGAUCGGGUUCUCCGCUGGGGCAUGCGGCUAAUUGACUCAGAGGAAAUUUGAGUGUCUUCAGGUCGGGAAUUAACUCGACGUCAGUUCCUUUUGUUUAUUUGAACUUAUGUUAAUUGACUCAUAAUUUUUACACUUUUCCUUCUGCAUGUUGUAAUUAUUUCAAAAUGAUUUUCUGCAGUAGAUAAUUCUGUUUCAUGGUAUGUUCAUGGAUUGACAACAUUUUGUUUAGCAAGUCAAUGUGAUCUUCUUGAAGAAAUAUGCUCCAGGCUGAAGAGAAAGUGGGGAUGGUGGACUGGCAUGAAAGGAAUUAAUGUUGUAGUUGUAUCUGCUGGCAUAUGAUUCCGUGAAGAAAUGGUAGCAGCUCUAUCGGUGGGGGACGAUGGAAGAAAUAAGGAGCAUACAUUGGUGAAUUACUUUUUAAGAAGAUAAUUUGACCUCUUGCUUAAUUUGUUUUGACUGAAAAAAUGUUAUUGACUUUCCCAUCUGUUAUGGUUCAAUAUGAGUAAGGACUGAAUUGGCCUUUAGUCAUACUCAACUUAUUAAUCAUCACAUGGCACAUUUGGCUAACAUCAAAGCUGGUGGAUGAUUUAAGAUUAAUAAUUGAUAGCCCUACAUGAUGCAAUUUAGGAUAAUCAAAGAUAAAAUUUUUAUUACUAAUUUAUAAUCAACUUAUAGACAUGUAUAGGGUAGAAUUCAAGUUGAUCUAGGAUGACGAGGUCAUCCACAAGAGAAUAAAUUAAAGAAAAAUCAAGUUAAUGAUUAAAAAAUUAUCAAUCAGAAUAAUAUCAAUGGGAAGAAUAGGUGAAAUGUGAUUUGAUUUUUUUUUAAUUCUAAAGUACAAGGAAAAUUAAUACUUAUUUUUGUUGAUGUCCUUGGGCAUAGAUUUCGAUAUUACAAAAUAUAUGAGAAAAUAUAUAAUUCAUGAUUGACAUAAUUCACAUUAAGUGAAAUGAUGAAGAGGUGAUGUGCCACACAUGGAUAAAUAUUUUUUAGAAAAUAAAUAUUUAAUAGGUAAAUGAUGGUUAUGUUUUUAAUUCAUAUAUCUAUGUUUAUUUAACCAGUUAAGUGCAACUAUUAUUUAUUAGUCAUAUAAAUCAUUAAAAGAAAAAGAAAAAGGUUCAAAAUAUCAAAUGAACUCUCAUGAGUCUCGAAUUAAAAAUCUAGAUGAUGACACGUCAAUUACUUAUGUGUAGAAAAUGACAACUUAAUACUCGAAUUUGAAGACAAAGUUAACAAAACAGUUGUUCGUCUAAGAAAGAAAAAUCUUCAGUUUGAAUUUCAAAUUGAAUGAACUAGAGAAUAGAAAGAUAUUGAAUUUGUAAUGGUCAAAGAUCGUUGCUAUGUGUUCUAGAAAAUAGUAAGUAUUCAAAUUAACCUUUUAACUUUGUCUCUCGAGCAAAUCAUUAAAAUUUGUUAGAGGACGAUGCCCUACAAGUGUAGGAAGUAAAGGAGAUCAAAAACAAUGAUUCAACUUUGAUCUACAAUGAGCUAUCUCUCUCACAAUCAAGAUUCAUCACUGUUGAGCAUCAACUAUGAGCAGACUACAUCAUACUUCUUAUCAACGAUUAAUGAUUAAGAAAAAUUUUGAAUCUUUUUAUAAUACUCUUCAUUAAGCUUAAGGUAAUUGCGUGGUGAGUGAAGAGUGAGUUUGGGUAAAGGCACGAGUUGCUCUAAACCUUGUUUAGCCUAAAAGGGGCUAGAUCUCUACGGAGGUCGAACUUGAGGUGUUGGGCAACUAAUCCUAUUAAAAUUAGUGUGUAUUUCUGAGAGAAAUAGUGAAAUAUCGAUAGGAAAGAUCUUCUGAGACUAGAAGUAAUUAGGUGAGGGGUGAACCAGCAUAAAAAGCUCUUGUUUCAUAGUGAGACUCUACUAGAAGAGAGAGAAAGUCAUUUUGCAUGUAAAUAAUUAUAUAGAAUUGUGUUAACCUGUGUGUUGACACAUCCAGCAUUUGGGAAGAAAAUGUGAGAUUUUUAAAAUACUAAUUCACCCCCCCUCUUUUCGAGGAGGCUCUCUAUCAGGUCCUAAGGUAAUUAAGUGGUGAAUAGAGAGUGAAUUUGGGCAAAGACAUGAGGUGCUCUAAGCCUUGUUUGGCUCGGAAGAGGUUGGAUCUCUAUGGAGGUUGAACCUAAGGUAUUGGGCAGCUGAUCCCAUUAAAAUCAGUAUGUAUUUUCGAAGAAAAUAGUGAAAUACUAGUAGAACAGAUCUUUUAUGAUUGGAAGUAACUAGUUGAGGGACGAAAUAGUACAAAAAGCUCUUGUUUCAUAGUGAGAUCCUGCCGUAAGUAAGAGAAAGUCAUUUUGCAUGGAGAUAAUUGUAUAUAGCUGUGUUGACACAUCUAGCAUCCGAAAAGAAAAUAUGAGAUUUUGAAAAUAUCAAUUCACCCCCCCUCUUUGUAUUUUGUCUAGCCUCUAAAUCUUUCAAUUCUAUCACAUCAAUCAUAAAAUCUAAUUUUCCUUGAGAAUGUGGCCGAUCUAAGUGUCUUAGAGAUCAAGCAUACAUCAAGGGAAUUAAUGUUGAGGGAAUGAAUAUAAAACCUAUCCUAAAGAACUCUAAACAUGGAUGCUAAAAAUCUUAAAUCCUAUUUUUCCAAUCUACUUAUCUCUUAGAUAAGUCUAUGUCACUUAUAUGGUCAAUAAGAAAAAAAGAUAUACUAAAAAGAGAAGGAACUAAGAAGUAUGAAUUUAAAUGAAUAAACUAAAAAAAUUAUAAAAGAACAUAAAAUAAAAAAUAAAAAUGCCUUCUCUAUGUCCAUUAGAGUACUUCAACUGGAUCUACCCAUUGAAGUUCUUAGAUUGGUCCAUUUGGUGAAGUUUUUGAAGUCUUCCUCUUCUCCUUAUGUGAAUGUCCCUCUCCUUUGUAGGUGGAUUCCAUGCUCAUGAAAUUUUUCCCCUUUUAAGGACUCCUUAAGCUGAAAAUUAAUCUUAGUCCUUAAUGGUCUUGGAGGUAUUAUGGGGCCUUGGAUCUUGGGGUGAUCGGCCGCUGCCUUAAGUCAGUCCCCUACUUCUUUUAGGGCAACAUCAUUAGGGAGGAUCCUAGCCCUUCAUUUGGAUGGUUGGGAUCCUCUCUUUACCCCUCUUUUAGAGGGAAAGGGCAUGCCCAAGGGAAGGUUACACUUGCCCUCCUUUAUUAUAGGGAAGGUUGUUGGACAAUUUCUACUGAGUCCUUGGCCAUUAUCAACAUACAAUUGAAUUCAGUAAUGAACCUCCUAUAGAUUAUAUGAAUGCCAAUUAACUAUGAUCCACUGAAUCUAGUGAAUGAAACCUCAAUCUCACUCUCUAAUGAAUUUUAAGGAAGAUAUAUAUGUUGUAUUAAUUAUUAGUUGGUUGAGAGUUCAUAAAAUGAUGGGAAUUUCGUAUAUGAACAUUUCGUAUAUGACCUGGCCCAUGGGACGAACCAACCCUGAGUUAUCUUUUUUUUUCUCUAUUCAGGAUUCCCUUGGGAUUGGCCCAUCACAUCGAUAGGGGUUCCCUGAGUUGGAGAGCGGACCCUCAUACACUUUAUGUUCGAUAACAAAAGAAUAGGUCCGGUAAAAGGCUUCGUAGUGGACUGCGAAUACUUAUUUUCUACAGUGGCAACUGCGGAAAUCAAUGGAUUUUUGAAGAAAACUGUACUGUGGAAUACCAGUAGCGUGUUAAUUGAAGAACUUUAAUUGAGGUAUGUCCCUCAAGAAAUUAAUAUUCAUAUAUAUAUAUAUAUAUGUAUGGAAGGUCGAACUGAAGUGGAAAGAUAAGCAAUAAGUCAAUAAUGAGAGCUCUGCAUGAGUGUUUGAGUUGUGGACAUUGAUCUCCUAUUGGGUCCUAUUGGGCUUCAUGAGUAUACUAAUCCGAUUCCUCAGUGAGUUUUUUCCCUAAUCGUGUGAUAAUCUUGGGAUGUCAGAGGGUCAGAGGGUCUGUUGUUGGAUGAGUGUUGUAGGAGACAAAUCUCCUGGAAUGAAGAAGAUCUGUAAUGUACUACGGACGUAGGAGGUUCUUUAAGACUACGUAAACCCGGUGUGUUCCAUGUUUCUUUCAGUCGCUCCCUCUCCCUUUCUCAUGAUGUUGUUGGGGAUCAAAGAUGUAGGGCAGUGUGUCGUCGUCAAGGAGAAGUUAUAAACUCUUGUGUAGCCUUCAAAAUAAUUAGGGAGGGAAGAAGUUAAGUUUUGAGGUUUACCUCAAUUAUUCCGCAAGGAGAGGUCGUAAGGGUCACUUAUCCAUUGCCACCCCGACACGCCACUGCCUCCUUCCGUUCACCAGUCGUCCACCACCGUCAUCCUCCAUUGUUGCGGCCUUCGUCUGCCACCGCCUUUCACACAGUCACCGUCUUCAGCCACCGUCGGCCGUCAGUAUCUACUGUUCGUCCGCCACCCAUUAUCGCCAUCGUCAUCACCGGUCGCUGCCACCACCAUCUGCCAUCAUCGUCCGCCGCAGCUGCCACCAUCACUGCCUCCGCCUCUGCCGUCCGCUGCCACCUUCUGCCCUAUUGCUGCCGCUAUCAACUAUCAUCACAAUCCGCUGCUACUGCCACCAUCCUUGCUUCUAUCUCCAUCCGUUUUGCCCUCUUCCCAUUCCGCCGCAUUUGCUGCCUUGCUUUCUCCAUCCCCACAACCCAUUAAUUUCCUCCCACCAGUUACCAUUUAAAGCCUCAGUUCAUGGUAUCACGAACCACUAGAGUGAACCAGUCUGGUUCAGCCCAGCCACAAUGCCGACAUCUGUCCAGCCUAAACCGGCUAGAGCCCUUGGCUGACCAACCUGUUCUGCUAGUGCCAACCAUUUUGACAGCCUGGUCCACACCAGUCAUUCAUUUAGUUUAUCUGGUCAACGGUCAAUGGUCUACGGUCAACAUUAACUCAACUAUUCUCAACUGGGUUCUAGCUUUAACCCAUGUUUCUCGACCACUAAGUUAUUUAUUCUGGUGACAAAAUUAUCUCCAAACCCCUUUUAUCUAUAUAUUAGACUAUUUUUUCAUUGAUUUUAUCUUAAAAUAUUGUCGUUGUAUGAUCCAUAGAUAUGUUCACUCAUUGUCAAAGUUGGUGGUUAGUGAAGGGUGACAACCCAUUUGAUUUGUAUCUUAUCAACUUAUUAAUUGUGGAGAACCUUAAUCAUUUAUAACUUAUCAAUUGGGAAGAUCUAUUUGUUUGAGAAUCUUGUAUGAUUAGACUAGUCUUAUCAUAGCCAACCUUGUAAUAUUUUUAAACUCAUUGUUCGAGUCAAGUAUAGGCACUUGUCUAAAGUAAUAUUUUCACUUCAUCAUCUCGUCUUGCAUUAGAUGUGUUAUGCAUCAGAUUUGUAUUGUGUAGGAAGGGAGAAACAAGGUCACUAAGACCCCUAACACUAAGCACAACGUUGGAAUGGUGGCCUCACUCUUACUUUUCUCCUCCACUCAGUUGUGCUACUUUCGUACCCCUUCCACUGUUGAUACUACGGUGGGCACAAAACUGUUUAGAUUUUUGAACUAGAAACAUUUUUCAACUGGAAAAUAUUUUUGGAUUAGAAAACUGUAGACAAAUUUUAAUACCUAAUUUCAGCAGUAUAAAUGUCUUAAAUCGUUUGAUUUCUAAAUGCAUCCCAAUAAGUUGCUUGGAUGGCACGUCUCAAUGACACUUGCUAUCACAGUUAGCUACGAUCGAUGCCAGGAGAAGCCCACACUAUGAACGACAGCCCACUUGGGGCUUCACAUUCUGGUCCAGCUGGAACAAGUGACAGCUCUUUUUCAAGCCUGCUUUCCAAGCCGUCGAUUAUGGCCUGAAUCCAUAGUGUCGCACACAGUUUGAUGCAUCAAUAAGAAUUCUCCACUUUUCCCAUUCUACAUAUGUCACGACUGGAUUCAGUUGUAAGCAGUAUUUUUGAACGCAUGCUUUUCUCGAUAUGAUUUAUGCAAAUAGUCUAUAAUGAUGCAAAUAUGUAGAAUACUUUUCAUUUGACGAUCAAGAAAAUAUUUAUAGGUAUAUGAAUGUCAACUACUUAGGUAGGCCGGCGAUUCAACCAUGGUAUUAAUCGUUACUUGAAUUUUUAAUUUAAAAUUCAAGACUAGAGACAAAAGUAUAUCAGCAUUUUCUUUGUUUCAGUGGCUGUUCCCCAGAGACAUGUCGAAAGAGGUAGUUUGUGGGAGUAUUAAUGGUUGGGAUUGGCAGAGCUGUUCUCCUCCUAAACUUCCGUAGCUGACCAUGACGUUAGUAUGAGGCUAAUUUACUUGAAGUUCAGUAGAAAAUUUCUGUAAAAGACCAUUUUUAUUGUAAUUACACCAAUUAACUGAGAAGCUGCCAAUGAGGGUCAGUUGAAAACGUUCAGUGAUAUUAGCAGACUUGCUUUGAUUGUCUCUUUUUGAUAUCCAAACAGACAACGAGAACAGGAACCAUUUUGAUGGAUAGCAUCGACAGCAUAGCCUAUCAUGUAACCUGAAGACUGCAGAGAUAGGUGAAAACGAUGACUCAGAGAAAGAGAGAGAAAGAAAGAAGGGUAAUGGUCGCUCCUGGCGAUAGAGUGAGAAAACGGCGCGCGGGUUAGAUAAAAGGGCGGAAGACUUUUCAGAAGCGUUGCUGGGGAUGGCUUUGGACCAAUGGUAGCUCAUUAACAGUACGGAAAGAGGUGAACUUUGGCAAGCAAGAGGGUCAACCAAUCCUGGCGGGAGCACUCAAAGAACACCAGUGUACGCGUCAGUGUGAUUCGCUUCAACACGUAUCUCAAAUUUUGGCCAGUCAUGGCACUGCAGCUACACCGGCGUGAUUCGCUUCCUUAUUUACUGUUACUAAAUGAAUGAAUCAUAAAUCUAAAUAUGAGAUCUAAUAGUCCUGUGUUGUUGUUUGUCACUUUAACAGAAAAUUUCCAUUCAAGAGCUAUUUCCAUCACUAAAGACAUUUCUCUGAAAAGAAAGGAACUGUUUUACUCUGUUCUCGAUAUGAUCCAAGGGACUUGAUUGGCUGGUUUGAUAACUAAAGUUUUCAGGGUUCUGGCACAAUGCCUGGGACUCUGGACUUUUCUCGACGUGGGUAGUGAAUUACAGAAGAGGUCUAGUCUUGGUUUUGCUUGAUUAAGCCUGCACGGAUCUUAGCGCAUUCGAACCCCACGAUUACGCUUGUGGGGGAAGGAUAAAAACAAAUUAUCAACCAGAUGUAUAGGAUCUCUGCGUUCAGAUAUUCCUAUCUUGACGUUCCAAACGUUUUUACGAGAAUAUUGUUAACUCUAAAUAAGGUAGAACCAUUUAUUCGUCCGGAUUUGAAAAUAAUUCCAUAUCAUUGUUCCAAGAAUUUUCCGCACAUCCACUGAUUUGACCGCAUUUCUCUAUCCUCGGUACAAGACGGAAGGUUCGCAUUUAAUUAUUUUGGGCCCAGAAUGGCUUAUUUGCGCCGCGUUUGCACCGGCAUAAUAACUUAACAUCGCUAACGCGAAGUAGACUUCGAAGUCCAAAAAAUAUGCAUUGAGAAUGGCUUGCGCAAGGUAGUCCGGAGGUACCGUUGCCCGAGACGAAACAAGUCAGAGAUGCCCUUUCAGAACUGAGGCCGAAGGAUUUGAUUGUGCCUUUUAUCCAAAUCGGAACAAGUUAAUGCGAUGGCGUCCUCCUAGAGGAGUUCGAUCUGUACCUCGAAUCCUCCGCCCAACAGCGGCUCCUACUGUUCUCCAAGGGACUCCCAAUGGGAACAUGUUGAUGCCGCCGGACACUCCUUCCCACCCGAAAGAUUCCGAGCUAAACCAGAUUUUAUUGAUCUCGCUGGCAAAUAGAGAAAUAGGAAGAGGGAGAAAGCCUGAAAGUGACAGAGGGAGGGAGAUACAUGUAUAUAUAUAUUUAUAUAUAUAUAUAUAUAGAUAGAUAUAUAUAUAUAUAUAUAUCGAGAGAGAGAGAGAGAGAGAGAGGNNNNNNNNNNNNNNNNNNNNNNNNNNNNNNNNNNNNNNNNNNNNNNNNNNNNNNNNNNNNNNNNNNNNNNNNNNNNNNNNNNNNNNNNNNNNNNNNNNNNNNNNNNNNNNNNNNNNNNNNNNNNNNNNNNNNNNNNNNNNNNNNNNNNNNNNNNNNNNNNNNNNNNNNNNNNNNNNNNNNNNNNNNNNNNNNNNNNNNNNNNNNNNNNNNNNNNNNNNNNNNNNNNNNNNNNNNNNNNNNNNNNNNNNNNNNNNNNNNNNNNNNNNNNNNNNNNNNNNNNNNNNNNNNNNNNNNNNNNUAUAUAUAUAUAUAUAUAUAUAUAUAUAUAUAUAUAUAUAUAUAUAUAUAUAUAUAUAGAGAGAGAGAGAGAGAGAGAGAGAGAGGGGGGGUAAGACCGCCGGAGAGAUAGAAAGGAGAGCGACAGAAGAGAGAUACAUAUUUAUAUAAACAUACAGAAAGAGAGAGGAGCAACGUUCCUGCCCGACGGACGACUACUUUUGCCGACAUAAGAGAUGAGUGGAUGGCGGUUCAAAGAGAGGGCGAGGGAGGUAGAAAGAGACGGGUUAACAAUGUACAAAUUAUGUUUUUUUAACCGUUUUAGUUUUGAAUAGAUGCAAAUCCGAGACAACGGCCUAGGUGACGAGGCCCUACGAAGAUUCGCGGAUGUAAACGAUUUGAAAUAUCAUAAUGAUGAAACAAACUUAUUUAAAUAGUCAGAUAACCGGAAGAAACAAGCUUCUCCGAAGAGACUUAAUCAUGGAUCGUAAAUAUCUUAGUAUUUAUCUCGUAGUGCAUUUUUCUAAUGAUUCUCCAGUGCUCCACACAAACCUAAUGAACGUACUUUGACAAAUUCCUCUGUCAUCUCUCUUUCGCAUGAUUGCCUACUCUUCUCCCUUGUUAGAACAAAGAUUUGACUCUACCGCGCUUAUUUGCACCAUUUUUCAUAAUAUUCCGCGACGGAUGCGAAUCAUGAUCACCAAUUUAGAUGAGACCUGUCAUUUUCCUCGAGGAAUAUGGGAAUCGAAGCAAUUAUGAAUUGAGGUAGACAUGAACAGAUCAUCGACCCAGUGGCUGAACAACUGGGCUUAUCCAUUGAAUAUGCCUUUAAUGCCGUAGAAGACCAGAGUUAUUGGAGGGCUCACGGUGAAACACCAGUUCUUUCAUUGGUGGAAGUUCAAUGGGAAAAGCUUAUAAAUAGUAUUUCCUCCCUCAGAGUCUACGCCAAGCCGUAGCACAACGAUGGUAUCACGAUCGUACCUCGUCUUUGCCCCCCUGUUAUGCCUGCUUUUGUUCCCUUUGGGCGGGUACGCCCUUGUGGGCAGCCUCAGUUUUGGAAAAGUUCGUAUAGGGAGCUUGGUACCCUCCCCCGGUUGCUCUGCCUCUAAAGGUUAUUUCCCGCUAUCGGAUUUUGCAGAUGCUCACUGAACUUUCCUUAAGCUAUUGGAUCACCUUUAUCCAAUAUUAUUUUUACUGGUUAAUUUCUAUUUCCGCUAAUUAUAUAUAAAUUCACGACUCUAGACUUUGCAUCUAUUGCAGCCCGCAGCAGCAGUUCUCUCAAAAUAGUGAACCGCUUCGGUGCGUGCUCAAGCAAGUCCUUCAGCAAGCAAAACCUCAUUAGUGCACUUGCCCAUGACUCCCUUCGAGUCGAUUCGAUCCAGGCAGCCGUUGCGGGAGUCCCUCUUGUCAAUGAUUCAAUACUGCUUGGGUCACAGGUCUCUAUCCCGGCAAAGAGUGGCCUCUAUAUUGGCACGGGUAACUACGUCAUCACUGUUGGCUUCGGCACUCCAACGAGAAACCAGACAGUCAUCUUCGAUACCGGCAGCAACGUGAACUGGAUCCAGUGCAAGCCUUGCGUGGUAAGCUGCUACCCGCAGCAGGAGCCGUUAUUUGAUCCCGCCCUCUCGUCUACCUAUCGUAAUAUCACCUGCACGGCUCCCGCGUGCCUCGGACUUAGCAGCAGAGGUUGCUCGGGCACCACCUGCGUCUAUGGGGUGACCUACGGCGACGGAUCCUCUACCGUCGGCUUCCUCGCCACGGAUAGCUUCACGCUGACAUCCACCAACGUGUUCAACAACUUCAUAUUUGGGUGCGGCCAGAACAACAAGGGGCUGUUCCGGGGGGCCGCCGGGUUGAUCGGGCUCGGACGCAGCCCCUACUCGCUGAAUUCUCAGGCGGCCAGCAGGCUGGGCAAUAUCUUCUCCUACUGUCUCCCUUCCACAAGCAGCUCCACCGGCUACCUCAACAUCGGCACUCCGUUAAAAACUACCGUUGCUUACACGCCGCUACUGACCAAUUCACGCGCGCCUACCCUCUACUUCAUCGACCUCAUUGGAAUUACCGUUGGGGGAACACCGCUUCCAUUGUCGCCGACCGUCUUUCAAUCUGUCGGGACAAUCAUCGACUCCGGGACUGUGAUCACCCGCCUACCCCCAUCGGCGUACAGCGCACUUCGGACGGCCUUCCGCGCCGCCAUGACACGGUACCCACUGGCUCCUGCGGCUAGUAUACUAGACACUUGUUAUGACUU